Long non-coding RNA from Anguilla rostrata (American eel), 416 nucleotides. RefSeq lists it as uncharacterized. The transcript has 3 exons. Lineage: Eukaryota; Metazoa; Chordata; Actinopteri; Anguilliformes; Anguillidae. The record is from RefSeq and is a predicted model, not a curated record.
GUGGACCGGUGCUCUACAUUCUGGUAAAAACCACAGGUAAAUGAGCUUAGGCAAAGUAUGUGGUGAAAAGGCCAGAAGGGGGAGGGGCUGCUGAAACCACCAGGUCAUACUCAGGUAGACUGAUCUCAGGUGAUAUUCAUGCUCAGGUGAGACUGAUCUCAGGUGAGACUGAUCUCAGGUGAUAUUCAUGCUCAGAUGAGACUGAUCUCAGGUGAUAUUCAUGCUCAGGUGAGACUGAUCUCAGGUGAUAUUCAUGCUCAGGAAAUAUUAACGCUCAGGUGGUAUUAAUGCUCAGGUGAGACUGAUCCCCAGGCGACUCAGGUAAUAUCAAAGCUCAGGUGACUGUGGGAAACUCACAGGUUUGAUCUGAGCUCUGUCCAGCUUCCUCCUGUACAGCAUGGCGGCGUGGAUGGAGU